GGUCCAUUCGUCUAGGGGUUAGGACGUCAGGUUUUCAUCCUGGAAACAGCGGUUCGAUUCCGCUAUGGACUA
Molecule: transfer RNA, 72 nt
Filed under: Bacteroidales bacterium
Lineage: Bacteria; Pseudomonadati; Bacteroidota; Bacteroidia; Bacteroidales
Description: tRNA-Glu
Rfam family: tRNA
About the family: Transfer RNA (tRNA) molecules are approximately 80 nucleotides in length. Their secondary structure includes four short double-helical elements and three loops (D, anti-codon, and T loops).
Source: RNAcentral